ACGGCGAGUGAAGCGGUAACAGCUCAAAUUUGAAAUCUGGCCUCACGGUCCGAGUUGUAAUUUGUAGAGGAUGCUUCGAGCAUGGUCUGGCCUAAGUUCCUUGGAACAGGACGUCAUAGAGGGUGAGAAUCCCGUAUGCGGCCAGGUGCCUACGCUCAUGUGAAGCUCCUUCGACGAGUCGAGUUGUUUGGGAAUGCAGCUCAAAAUGGGUGGUAAAUUUCAUCUAAAGCUAAAUAUUGGCCAGAGACCGAUAGCGCACAAGUAGAGUGAUCGAAAGAUGAAAAGCACUUUGGAAAGAGAGUUAAACAGUACGUGAAAUUGUUGAAAGGGAAGCGCUUGCAACCAGACUUGCGCGCGGCCGAUCAUCCGGUGUUCUCACCGGUGCACUCGGCCGUGCUCAGGCCAGCAUCGGUUUUGGCGGCUGGAUAAAGGCCCUAGGAAUGUAGCUCCUCUCGGGGAGUGUUAUAGCCUAGGGUGCAAUGCAGCCUGCUGGGACCGAGGACCGCGCUUCGGCUAGGAUGCUGGCGUAAUGGUUGUAAGCGGCCCGUCUUGAAACACGG
This 560-nucleotide ribosomal RNA is filed under the name Pseudogymnoascus sp. RNAcentral describes it as "LSU rRNA". It matches the Rfam family "Eukaryotic large subunit ribosomal RNA", at positions 86 to 664 of the family's 3401-position model. The record is from RNAcentral. Lineage: Eukaryota; Fungi; Ascomycota; Leotiomycetes; Thelebolales; Thelebolaceae.